This 373-nucleotide ribosomal RNA is filed under the name uncultured bacterium. RNAcentral's name for it is "bacterial SSU rRNA". It matches the Rfam family "Bacterial small subunit ribosomal RNA", at positions 32 to 396 of the family's 1533-position model. The record is from RNAcentral.
AAUCAACGCUGGCGGCGUGCCUCAGGCAUGCAAGUCGAACGAUUAAACUUUCCUUCGGGGAAGAUAUAAAGUGGCGCACGGGUGAGUAACACGUAGGUAAUCUACCUUUGAGUGGGGAAUAACUUAGGGAAACUUAAGCUAAUACCGCAUAAUGCAGCGGCAUCGCAAGAUGACAGUUGUUAAAGGAGCAAUCCGCUUAAAGAGGAGCCUGCGGCAGAUUAGCUAGUUGGAAGGUAACGGCUUACCAAGGCAACGAUCUGUAACCGACCUGAGAGGGUGGUCGGUCACACUGACACUGAAUAACGGGUCAGACUCCUACGGGAGGCAGCAGUCGGGAAUUUUGGGCAAUGGGCGAAAGCCUGACCCAGCAACG